UGUGUGUGUGUGUGUGUGUGUGUGUGUGUGUGUGUGUGUGUGUGUGUGUGUGUGUGUGUGUAUAGAGCUGUAUGACUACUGUAUUAAGGAGAGUUAUGCUGAUAAGAACCUGAUCGCUAAGUGGAAGAAACAGGGAUACGAGAACCUGUGCUGCCUUCGCUGCAUCCAGACACGAGACACCAACUUUGGAACCAACUGCAUCUGUCGAGUUCCCAAGAGCAAACUGGAGGUGGGGAGGAUUAUAGAGUGCACCCACUGUGGCUGCCGAGGCUGCUCGGGCUGAAUCGUCAGGAUCAUCGCCUGGCUGUUCUACUCUGGCUCGUCUAGUCAGGUCUGGAUCGCCUGGCUGUUCUACUCUGGCUCGUCUAGUCAGGUCUGGAUCGCCUGGCUGUUCUACUCUGGCUCGUCUAGUCAGGUCUGGAUCGCCUGGCUGUUCUACUCUGGCUCGUCUAGUCAGGUCUGGAUCGCCUGGCUGUUCUACUCUGGCUCGUCUAGUCCGGUCUGGAUCGCCUGGCUGUUUUGCUGUGGGGAUCGUCUAGCCUGGCCUGGCUGUUCUGGAUCGUCAGUUAUUUUCUACGGGACAUCAGGGCUCAUCUACUCCACCUGUGUGCUUCAUUACCCUGGAGCGUCUAAUCUCAAAUACACCCCUACUCUCUAGCCCCCUACUCUCUAGCCCCCUACUCUCUAGCCCCUUACUCUCUAGCCCCCUACUCUCUAGCCCCCUACUCUCUAGCCCCCUACUCUCUAGCCCCCUACUCUCUAGCCCCCUACUCUCUAGCCCACUACUCUCUAGCCCACUACUCUCUAGCCCACUACUCUCUAGCCCCUACUCUCUAGCCCCCUACUCUCUAGCCCACUACUCUCUAGCCCAAAACUCUCUACUCCCUAGUCUCUUGCCCCCUACUCUCUACCCCUACUCUCUACCCCCUACUCUCUACCCCCUACUCUCUACCCCCCUACUCCCAGUAUAGGGGUGUCUUUGUGAUUGGGCAAGGUUAUUGUUACCAUUCCAGCUGUUUAGUACACACGGUGGUCAUUAUUAAGUGCUAUUGUACCUCAUUUACAAUGAAGAGGGCUGUGGGACAGGGAAGGGUGGGAUGGGGGCCUUUUUCCUGCUGUUGAACAUGUCAUUGCUUUCAACCUGAUGUACCUUUUUUAUAAUUUCAAUUAAAACUCUCUUGUUUUAAAUAA
Molecule: long non-coding RNA, 1191 nt
Organism: Oncorhynchus nerka (sockeye salmon)
Lineage: Eukaryota; Metazoa; Chordata; Actinopteri; Salmoniformes; Salmonidae
Exons: 2
Source: RefSeq, a predicted model, not a curated record